UAGGGAAUCUUCCACAAUGGACGCAAGUCUGAUGGAGCAACGCCGCGUGAGUGAAGAAGGUUUUCGGACCGUAAAGCUCUGUUGUUGGUGAAGAAGGAUAGAGGUAGUAACUGGCCUUUAUUUGACGGUAAUCAACCAGAAAGUCACGGCUAACUACGUUCCAGCAGCCGCGGUAAUACGUAGGUGGCAAGCGUUGUCCGGAUUUAUUGGGCGUAAAGCGAGCGCAGGCGGAAGAAUAAGUCUGAUGUGAAAGCCCUCGGCUUAACCGAGGAAUUGCAUCGGAAACUGUUUUCUUGAGUGCAGAAGAGGAGAGUAGAACUCCAUGUGUAGCGGUGGAAUGCGUAGAUAUAUGGAAGAAUACCAGUGGCGAAGGCGGCUCUCUGGUCUGCAACUGACGCUGAGGCUCGAAAGCAUGGGUAGCGAACAGGAUUAGAUACCCUGGUAGUCCAUGCCGUAAACGAUGAGUGCUAAGUGUUGGGAGGCUUCCGCCUCUCAGUGCUGCAGCUAACGCAUUAAGCACUCCGCCUGGGGGAGUACGACCGCAAGGUUGAAAC
This 554-nucleotide ribosomal RNA is filed under the name uncultured bacterium. Its description in RNAcentral is "partial 16S ribosomal RNA". It matches the Rfam family "Bacterial small subunit ribosomal RNA", at positions 355 to 900 of the family's 1533-position model. The record is from RNAcentral.